The submitters of this non-coding RNA (127 nucleotides) gave its source as unclassified sequences. The record is from Rfam.
GCUCUGCGACGGCUACGGCCUCGCAGGCCGACCGCUUCAUGGUGGUCAGCCUCAUCGACCUGCUUCGGCGAAUACAUUCAGAGGUUCGGUAAAGCGGGGAGUAGCAGUGUCGAAACCCGCGACCGAC